This is a long non-coding RNA of Magnolia sinica, 897 nucleotides long. RefSeq lists it as uncharacterized. The record is from RefSeq and is a predicted model, not a curated record. NCBI's taxonomy places the organism in Eukaryota, Viridiplantae, Streptophyta, Magnoliopsida, Magnoliales, Magnoliaceae. The transcript has 3 exons.
UUUACUUUUUUUCGUUAUUGCAGGUUACAAGUAUAAAGAAAUAUUUUUCAAUACAUGGUAUACCCGAUUGCGGUACUUUUCAGCUCAUUAUGGAUAAUGAAUGCCCUCAACAAAAAAAUUCGUAUGAUUGCGGUCUUUUCGUGAUAAAAUUUAUGGAUUGCUUGUCCCAAGGAGAUAGAUUUUAUUUCAAUUCGGGAGAUAUGCAAUUUGAACGAAAAAAGAUAGCUGCACAACUUUUGCUUGGUAAGAUAAGUCCAUAGAAAUAAGGUAUUAGUUUUGAUUUUAAUUUCCUACUAAGUUCAGAAUCAUGAACAAUGCUUACUUCUUACAUUUCUUUUAUUUCUAGUAGACAUUAUGAACUGAUUGGGUUUAUUGUGCCAUUUCCAUAUAUGAAACAUUCCUAUACUUUUUCGAUGUGAAGCAAGACUUCGAAAGUAUGAGUAUGACAUUCGUAUACUUUUGUGGCCUGCUCAAUGUGAUAUUGCAGGUGCACAUGAAUCGGAGAUGGCUAGUGUGGCUAAGGAUGAUACUGAUUACCAGAAUAUGAUUUUCUUCUCUUUUCGAGUGGGGUCUUUGUGUGGAUUCGUCUAGGGAAGAUAUUACAAGCUAAAGAGAUCGUGAUUGUUUAUCUCUCGUGAUUAUGUUCCAUAGCCCUUGUUGUUUCUUUUUACCCUUGUGCUCUAAAACUGGUUUUUGGAAGAAGUUCGUAUGAAGAAGAGGUCGAGGGACCUCAAUGCCUAUUCUGUAUUUGCAGGCCUCAGAUUUUUUUUGGGUUGCUCAGUUUGACAUUGUAUAGUUUUUUGUUGGUUGUUUGUUGUGACUCACGGCCUCAAACUUUUUGUUAGGUAGCUCUUUUAUUGGGAAGUAUAUCUACUUGAUACGAUGUGUCAUUUCUUA